GGGGGAGUGGCCGGGUGGUUAAAAGCGACAGACUGUAAAUCUGUUGAAGGUUUUCUAUUCCAUGCAGGUCCGAAUCCUGCCUCUCCCA
This 88-nucleotide transfer RNA is filed under the name Haplomitrium mnioides. RNAcentral's name for it is "tRNA-Tyr". It matches the Rfam family "tRNA". Rfam says of the family: Transfer RNA (tRNA) molecules are approximately 80 nucleotides in length. Their secondary structure includes four short double-helical elements and three loops (D, anti-codon, and T loops). Lineage: Eukaryota; Viridiplantae; Streptophyta; Haplomitriopsida; Calobryales; Haplomitriaceae. The record is from RNAcentral.